CGCAAUGGGCGCAAGCCUGACGGAGCAAUACCGCGUGAGGGAUGACGGCCCUUGGGUUGUAAACCUCUUUUAUCAAGGAGGAAGUUUUGACGUGUACUUGAUGAAUAAGCAUCGGCUAACUCCGUGCCAGCAGCCGCGGUAAGACGGAGGAUGCAAGUGUUAUCCGGAAUCACUGGGCGUAAAGCGUCUGUAGGUGGUUUGAAAAGUCCACUGUUAAAAAUUGAGGCUUAACUUCAAAGAUGCCGUGGAAACUUUCAAACUAGAGUAUGGUAGGGGUAGAGGGAAUUUCCAGUGGAGCGGUUAAAUGCGUAGAUAUUGGAAAGACCACGGAUGGGGAAGGCCCUUUACUGGGCCCAGUUCGUGCCUUUUUUGUAGAGGACU
Molecule: ribosomal RNA, 381 nt
Filed under: uncultured organism
Description: bacterial SSU rRNA
Rfam family: Bacterial small subunit ribosomal RNA
Source: RNAcentral